Molecule: ribosomal RNA, 497 nt
Filed under: uncultured bacterium
Lineage: Bacteria
Description: partial 16S ribosomal RNA
Rfam family: Bacterial small subunit ribosomal RNA
Source: RNAcentral
AGUGAACGCUGGCGGCGUGCCUAAUACAUGCAAGUCGAACGCGAAAGUCCUUCGGGAUGAGUAAAGUGGCGCACGGGUGAGUAAUGCAUGAGAACAUGCCCUUAGAUGGGGAAUAACGUUUGGAAACGAACGCUAAUACCGCAUAACCUCGAGAGAGUAAAGGUGGCGCCGCAAGGGCUACCGCCUAAGGAUUGGCUCAUGUCCCAUUAGCUAGUUGGCGGGGUAAUGGCCCACCAAGGCAACGAUGGGUAUGUGGUCUGAGAGGAUGAUCACACACACUGGAACUGAGACACGGUCCAGACUCCUACGGGAGGCAGCAGUAGGGAAUAUUGCACAAUGGGGGAAACCCUGAUGCAGCAACGCCGCGUGAGUGAAGAAGGCCCUUGGGUCGUAAAGCUCUUUAGCGAGGGAAGAGGGUAGAUACGGUGAAUAAUCGUGUUUGCUGACGGUACCUCGAGAAUAAGCACCGGCUAAUUUCGUGCCAGCCGCCGCUGUAA